AGAGAAAAACCGCAAGAGAGAAAAGUAGUAGGAGUACUCGAAUGUCGACGAGCAUUGCGAAAAAACAACCGGUGGAAAGCAGGAUUUUUGCCGCGUUCCCUUGCGAAAUCCAUGUCUCAACGUCGUCGUUAUCGUACCCUGUCCCUUGACCGGCCGUAAACCAUCUUCCAUCAUUCGUCGUUCGCAUUGCCUCGUCGUUUCUUAAAUCUCAACUAUCCAUAUUCGUAUCCAUAUUCGGUGCUACGUGCGUAGUUUCCUAGGCGCCUGUUGCAAGUUUCAGCACCUAUGAAGCCAGUUUCCAUAGGUUUCAGAAAUUAUUCGCAGUCCAACGUCGGCGGACUAACUUACUGCAACGAGUAACUUGGAUGACAAGUGCAAUUAGGCUCCUGGAGUUUCACGAGCAGCCACCAGCACCGCUAUGAAUAACUUGUCAAUUAAUCGCGAUUAUUGACAAGUAAUGGCGAGAGCGGAGAACAAGCCUCAAAAGGACAAGUUUCACAAGCUGACGUUUACGUCACGCUACCGUUCCUUCUACGAAGAUGGACGUAAACUCGCUUGUUAAUUGACCGCGAAAGCAUUAAAACGUGAUUUCAGGUCAAUUUCGUGCGCGUAUACUGUAUACGCACGGACGAACGUUACGUGAAACGAAAGUAAGUGCGAUGAGCAUUACCCAAUCGUCCGUAGUCGCGAUUUCGUCGAUCGACCAAUGACGAAAGAGCGCAUACGCGUGUUCGCGUAUGCCCGGCUCUUUCAAAACGACUAUGAGCAAUAUUGUCAAUUCGAUCGCUGACCUUAAGCCUUAAGUGGUCAAGUUUUCAUUCCAGUUGGAUGUUAAUGUCGUUCAUUCGCCUUGCACGUUAUUUGAAAGUUGUUUAACACUCCUAAGAAGUGUUUGCAAGCUUCGGUAUCUUUCGGAAG
This is a long non-coding RNA of Bombus pascuorum, 918 nucleotides long. RefSeq lists it as uncharacterized. The transcript is spliced from 3 exons. The record is from RefSeq and is a predicted model, not a curated record. Lineage: Eukaryota; Metazoa; Arthropoda; Insecta; Hymenoptera; Apidae.